ACGGCUCAGUAACACGUAGCCAACCUGCCCUUAGGUCAGAUAUAACCUCGGGAAACUGAGGAUAAGAUCUGAUAGGAGAUAUUUUCUGGAAUGAAUCUUCUCUGAAACUUACGCCUAAGGAUGGGGCUGCGGCUGAUUAGGUUGUUGGCGGGGUAAAUGCCCACCAAGCCGAUGAUCAGUAAGGGCUCUUAGCGGAGAGGCCCUGAGAAGGAAUCUGAGACACAUAUUCCUAGCUUUACGGAGCGCAGCAAGUAGGAAUCUUCUGCAAUGCACGCAAGUGUGACAGAGCGAGUCAGAGUGUUUUUCUUAAUAGAAAAACUUUUGUUUGUUGUAAAAAGACAGACGAAUAAGGACUGGGAAAGACCGGUGCCAGCCGCCGCGGUAAUACCGGCGGUCCGAGUCGCAGCCAUGAUUAUUGGGUCUAAAACAUCCGUAGCUUGUUUAGUAAGUUUCUUGUGAAAUCUUAUCUCUUAAGGGUAAGGCGUGCAAGAAAUACUGUUAAACUGGAGACUGGAAGAAGUAAGAAGUACGAUUGAGGUAGUGGUAAAAUAUGUUCAUCUUAAUCGGACUAACAAUAGCGAAGGCAUCUUACUAGUACAGAUCUGACGGUGAGGGAUGAAGGCUAGGGUCGCAAAACGGAUUAGAUACCCGUGUAGUCCUAGCAGUAAACACUGCUCACUAAACAUUAGGAUCUCUUCGAGAGAUUUUAGUGCUGUAGGGAAGCCGAAGAGUGAGCUACCUGGGAAGUAUAGCCGCAAGGCCGAAAACUUAAAGGAAUUGGCGGGGGAGCAC
RNAcentral lists this ribosomal RNA (792 nucleotides) under uncultured archaeon. RNAcentral's name for it is "bacterial SSU rRNA". It matches the Rfam family "Archaeal small subunit ribosomal RNA", at positions 85 to 879 of the family's 1478-position model. The record is from RNAcentral.